RNAcentral lists this ribosomal RNA (1148 nucleotides) under Salmonella enterica. RNAcentral's name for it is "partial 23S ribosomal RNA". It matches the Rfam family "Bacterial large subunit ribosomal RNA", at positions 1 to 1190 of the family's 2925-position model. The record is from RNAcentral. Lineage: Bacteria; Pseudomonadati; Pseudomonadota; Gammaproteobacteria; Enterobacterales; Enterobacteriaceae.
GGUUAAGCGACUAAGCGUACACGGUGGAUGCCCUGGCAGUCAGAGGCGAUGAAGGGCGUGCUAAUCUGCGAUAAGCGCCGGUAAGGUGAUAUGAACCGUUAUAACCGGCGAUACCCGAAUGGGGAAACCCAGUGUGACUCGUCACACUAUCAUUAACUGAAUCCAUAGGUUAAUGAGGCGAACCGGGGGAACUGAAACAUCUAAGUACCCCGAGGAAAAGAAAUCAACCGAGAUUCCCCCAGUAGCGGCGAGCGAACGGGGAGGAGCCCAGAGCCUGAAUCAGCAUGUGUGUUAGUGGAAGCGUCUGGAAAGGCGCGCGAUACAGGGUGACAGCCCCGUACACAAAAGCGCAUGUGCUGUGAGCUCGAUGAGUAGGGCGGGACACGUGGUAUCCUGUCUGAAUAUGGGGGGACCAUCCUCCAAGGCUAAAUACUCCUGACUGACCGAUAGUGAACCAGUACCGUGAGGGAAAGGCGAAAAGAACCCCGGCGAGGGGAGUGAAAAAGAACCUGAAACCGUGUACGUACAAGCAGUGGGAGCACCCUUCGGGGUGUGACUGCGUACCUUUUGUAUAAUGGGUCAGCGACUUAUAUUCUGUAGCAAGGUUAACCGAAUAGGGGAGCCGGAGGGAAACCGAGUCUUAAUUGGGCGUUAAGUUGCAGGGUAUAGACCCGAAACCCGGUGAUCUAGCCAUGGGCAGGUUGAAGGUUGGGUAACACUAACUGGAGGACCGAACCGACUAAUGUUGAAAAAUUAGCGGAUGACCUGUGGCUGGGGGUGAAAGGCCAAUCAAACCGGGAGAUAGCUGGUUCUCCCCGAAAGCUAUUUAGGUAGCGCCUCGUGAAUUCAUCUCCGGGGGUAGAGCACUGUUUCGGCUAGGGGGCCAUCCCGGCUUACCAACCCGAUGCAAACUGCGAAUACCGGAGAAUGUUAUCACGGGAGACACACGGCGGGUGCUAACGUCCGUCGUGAAGAGGGAAACAACCCAGACCGCCAGCUAAGGUCCCAAAGUCAUGGUUAAGUGGGAAACGAUGUGGGAAGGCCCAGACAGCCAGGAUGUUGGCUUAGAAGCAGCCAUCAUUUAAAGAAAGCGUAAUAGCUCACUGGUCGAGUCGGCCUGCGCGGAAGAUGUAACGGGGCUAAACCAU